UUACGACGUGUUCAUAUAUCGAUUUGUAGUGCUGUAAUGUGCAAAUUAGCGGACUUUAUAGCGGCUCUCUAUUUUCCGUCGUUGUCUUUCGAGCAGCGCCUGUUGUUCCGGUAAAAAUCGAGUUGAAUGAAUCGCCACAGCCAACGUAUAUCGCGCAGUGUUGACCAAGUCCAGCAGGAAUUCUGGCAUGGUAUGUGGCUGCACGGAGAAUUCCGAAAAAGAAAAACAACAUGGCUAAUAGGAUGUUGCUGCCCAGGGAGUCCUGGCCGAAGAGGUGAGCUGUUAAGAUCCAUCAUAAGGUUCUGUUGUGAAGUUUAUUCAUUCCAGAAGCAAGAAUUGUACAAUUGUAAGGCGAAUGGAAAUAAACUGACAUCGACUGAGAUAGGUGUUCCGUCUUGGCCAGUGACUGUAGGAUGGCUCCAAAAGCGUCACAACAAAGCCAAUAUUCAUCUAGCUCUCUACAAGUAGCUAACUCCACAUAGUAGCCUGCUUCACAGCAACAUCAACACUACCUUGUGGGAGUACACAUUACACAAUAUGUUGCAUUGUGCUGUGGUAUGAUAACAUACCGUUUGUCUCGCAAUAUGUGUAUAUAAAUAUGAUAAGGGCCCUAAGGGCACAGUGCAUGCCUUAUACCCUGCUGAAUAUAUAUCCAUACCUGGCUGCGACAUUGCAUAUCAAUGCAGGUUACAAAUACACAUUUUCACAUUUGGCCGUUAUGAGACAUCUUCGGCCGUAAUGAGACUGCCUUCGGCCGUGUUGAGACUUU
Long non-coding RNA from Ornithodoros turicata, 769 nucleotides. RefSeq lists it as uncharacterized. The record is from RefSeq and is a predicted model, not a curated record. Lineage: Eukaryota; Metazoa; Arthropoda; Arachnida; Ixodida; Argasidae. The transcript has 3 exons.